This 490-nucleotide ribosomal RNA is filed under the name Diaporthe sp. Ac006. Its description in RNAcentral is "eukaryotic LSU rRNA". The stretch from base 176 to 329 matches the Rfam family "5.8S ribosomal RNA". The record is from RNAcentral. Lineage: Eukaryota; Fungi; Ascomycota; Sordariomycetes; Diaporthales; Diaporthaceae. RNAcentral also lists the same sequence under 5 other names.
CUGGAACGCGCCCCAGGCGCACCCAGAAACCCUUUGUGAACUUAUACCUUACUGUUGCCUCGGCGCAUGCCGGCCCCCCUGGGGGCCCCUCCUUCUGGAGGAGCAGGCACGCCGGCGGCCAACCUAACUCUUGUUUUUACACUGAAACUCUGAGAAUAAAACAUAAAUGAAUCAAAACUUUCAACAACGGAUCUCUUGGUUCUGGCAUCGAUGAAGAACGCAGCGAAAUGCGAUAAGUAAUGUGAAUUGCAGAAUUCAGUGAAUCAUCGAAUCUUUGAACGCACAUUGCGCCCUCUGGUAUUCCGGAGGGCAUGCCUGUUCGAGCGUCAUUUCAACCCUCAAGCCUGGCUUGGUGAUGGGGCACUGCCUGUAAAAGGGCAGGCCCUGAAAUUCAGUGGCGAGCUCGCCAGGACCCCGAGCGCAGUAGUUAAACCCUCGCUCUGGAAGGCCCUGGCGGUGCCCUGCCGUUAAACCCCCAACUUCUGAAAAU